UACGUAGGGUCCGAGCGUUGUCCGGAAUUAUUGGGCGUAAAGAGCUCGUAGGCGGUUUGUCGCGUCUGCUGUGAAAUCCCGAGGCUCAACCUCGGGUCUGCAGUGGGUACGGGCAGACUGGAGUGCGGUAGGGGAGAAUGGAAUUCCUGGUGUAGCAGUGGAAUGCGCAGAUAUCAGGAGGAACACCGAUGGCGAAGGCAGUUCUCUGGGCCGUAACUGACGCUGAGGAGCGAAAGCGUGGGGAGCGAACAGG
This 253-nucleotide ribosomal RNA is filed under the name uncultured bacterium. Its description in RNAcentral is "partial 16S ribosomal RNA". It matches the Rfam family "Bacterial small subunit ribosomal RNA", at positions 524 to 776 of the family's 1533-position model. The record is from RNAcentral.